AUGUCCUGCUGAUUGUACCUCACUAUUUCCUUCCCACAGUAAAUUGCUGUCUUGGAUUUUAUGUUUGUAAUCCUUUAUUUUUCCUUAUAUUUACUUUAAACAAUAUAUUUUGUUUGUUUUUAAACUUUAGGUAAAUGGACUCAUACUGUUAGUAAUUCUUUCUGACUUUUAUCAUUUCAAGAUUAAUCCAUCUUUGUAGCAGUAUAUUUUUAAAGCUAAGUAAGUGGUAUUUCAUGGUAUAAACUAUCACAUUUGAUCAGUUUUACUCCUAACAUGUUAUGAACAGUGCUGGUUUAAAUGUUGUAACACAUUUUCAUGGUUUUCUCUUAGGGUAUUGACCUACAAAUGCAAGUGCUAGGUUAUGGCAUGUCUGUUCCGUUUUACUAGAUAAUGCCAUCCUGUUCCAAAGUGAUUACAUCAGUUUAUGCUCUUACUGAUAGUACAUGAGUUCCAGGUAUACCACAUUCUCCCCAACACUGGACUUAUUUUGGUGAAAGAUACUCCUUAUGGUUCUAUUAUAUUUCCUUAGCUAAUAAGAAUAAUUGAGUAUAAUUGUAUGUGUUUUGGGGCAUUUGUGGCUCUUCUAUUAAAUGUCUAUUCUUAACUUUUGACUUUCUCAAUUCGGUUAUCCUUUUGUUUGCUUUUUGGUCUGCUUGAGCUGUUCAUUACUUUGAGAGGUGUUACUAAAAUCUUCUAUGAAGAUAGACUUGUAGAUUGUCCUUUGCUUAUCUAUUUUGAGGUUGUUACUAAGUGUAUACAGGUUUUAUGCUCAUGGUGACUAUAUCAUUAUAUAGUUAUUCUAUCUUUUAUUAUUUUUGGCCUUAACAUUUGUUUCACUUGAUAUUAACAUAGCAAUGCCAGC
Molecule: long non-coding RNA, 862 nt
Filed under: Homo sapiens (human)
Lineage: Eukaryota; Metazoa; Chordata; Mammalia; Primates; Hominidae
Description: HSALNT0347751
Source: RNAcentral